RNAcentral lists this unclassified non-coding RNA (347 nucleotides) under soil metagenome. RNAcentral describes it as "partial contains 5.8S ribosomal RNA, internal transcribed spacer 2, and large subunit ribosomal RNA". The stretch from base 5 to 119 matches the Rfam family "5.8S ribosomal RNA", at positions 40 to 154 of the family's 154-position model. The record is from RNAcentral.
GAUGAGAACGUAGCGAAAUGCGAUAAGUAAUGUGAAUUGCAGAAUUCAGUGAAUCAUCGAGUCUUUGAACGCACAUUGCGCCCCCUGGUAUUCCGGGGGGCAUGCCUGUCCGAGCGUCAUUGCUGCCCUCAAGCACGGCUUGUGUGUUGGGCCGCCGUCCCCGGUUUCCCCCGGGGACGGGCCCGAAAGGCAGCGGCGGCACCGCGUCCGAUCCUCGAGCGUAUGGGGCUUUGUCACCCGCUCUGUAGGCCCGGCCGGCGCCAGCCGACACCCAACUUUAUUUCUAAGGUUGACCUCGGAUCAGGUAGGGAUACCCGCUGAACUUAAGCAUAUCAAUAAGCGGAGGA